RNAcentral lists this ribosomal RNA (253 nucleotides) under uncultured bacterium. Its description in RNAcentral is "partial 16S ribosomal RNA". It matches the Rfam family "Bacterial small subunit ribosomal RNA", at positions 524 to 776 of the family's 1533-position model. The record is from RNAcentral.
UACGUAGGUGGCAAGCGUUGUCCGGAUUUACUGGGUGUAAAGGGCGUGCAGCCGGAGAGACAAGUCAGAUGUGAAAUCCACGGGCUCAACCCGUGAACUGCAUUUGAAACUGUUUCCCUUGAGUGUCGGAGAGGUAAUCGGAAUUCCUUGUGUAGCGGUGAAAUGCGUAGAUAUAAGGAAGAACGCCAGUGGCGAAGGCGGAUUACUGGACGAUAACUGACGGUGAGGCGCGAAAGCGUGGGGAGCAAACAGG